RNAcentral lists this ribosomal RNA (363 nucleotides) under Triticum aestivum (bread wheat). RNAcentral's name for it is "partial small subunit ribosomal RNA". Lineage: Eukaryota; Viridiplantae; Streptophyta; Magnoliopsida; Poales; Poaceae. The record is from RNAcentral.
AUGGGCGAACGGAAAGAAGCAACGGUGCCGAGCGUGGCCUGUGUGGGAGGAGGCAGCGGCGGCCGUGGAUCGAGAUCGAGCUCAUGCAAACGCGCAUCUGCUGUUUGCAAAAUCAGCAAGCGCAGCCAGCAGGGGAUCUUUAAGAAGAUGAAGCGAAUUGCUGCUUAUUUUGGAACUCCAUCUAAUGAAUUUCAAGCUCCUGUUCAUGUUCCUGAACCUGAUGCGAACAUUUUAUCCACUAAAGCCUCAGAUGCAAACAUUGUAGAAGAUCUAGUUCCUGAACCUGAAGUGUAUAAUGAGGGCUCUCAUGAUAACACUUUGCAAACUUCUAUUCUAGGAUUUAGUUGCUUCGUUUUGUAUUAA